AGCAGCCGCGGUAAUUCCAGCUCCAAUAGCGUAUAUUAAAGUUGUUGCAGUUAAAAAGCUCGUAGUUGAAUUUCGGGGUUCAUCCGUUGGUCGGGCUUUUUUGGUCUGUACUGGCGUGAUGGAUUCCUACCUUCUGAAUAACCAGCAUGUCAUUAAUUUGGUGCGCUGGGGAAGCAGGACUGUUACCUUGAAAAAAUUAGAGCGCUUAAAGCAGGCUAUCGCCUGAAUACAUUAGCAUGGAAUAAUGAAAUAGGACGGCAUGGUUCUAUUUUGUUGGUUUUUAGGAUCACCGUAAUGAUUAAUAGGGAUAGUUGGGGGCAUUAGUAUUCAAUUGUCAGAGGUGAAAUUCUUGGAUUUAUUGAAGACUAACUUCUGCGAAAGCAUUUGCCAAGGAUGUUUUCAUUAAUCAAGAACGAAAGUUAGGGGAUCGAAGACGAUCAGAUACCGUCGUAGUCUUAACCAUAAACUAUGCCGACUAGGGAUCGGAUGAUGUUAAUUUUUUAAUGACUC
This 510-nucleotide ribosomal RNA is filed under the name uncultured Acaulospora. RNAcentral describes it as "SSU rRNA". It matches the Rfam family "Eukaryotic small subunit ribosomal RNA", at positions 569 to 1077 of the family's 1831-position model. Lineage: Eukaryota; Fungi; Glomeromycota; Glomeromycetes; Diversisporales; Acaulosporaceae. The record is from RNAcentral.